AGUGAACGCUGGCGGUAGGCCUAACACAUGCCAGUCGAACGGCAGCACAGUAAGAGCUUGCUCUUACGGGUGGCGAGUGGCGGACGGGUGAGGAAUACAUCGGAAUCUACUUUUUCGUGGGGGAUAACGUAGGGAAACUUACGCUAAUACCGCAUACGACCUACGGGUGAAAGCAGGGGAUCUUCGGACCUUGCGCGAUUGAAUGAGCCGAUGUCGGAUUAGCUAGUUGGCGGGGUAAAGGCCCACCAAGGCGACGAUCCGUAGCUGGUCUGAGAGGAUGAUCAGCCACACUGGAACUGAGACACGGUCCAGACUCCUACGGGAGGCAGCAGUGGGGAAUAUUGGACAAUGGGCGCAAGCCUGAUCCAGCCAUACCGCGUGGGUGAAGAAGGCCUUCGGGUUGUAAAGCCCUUUUGUUAGAAAAGAAAAGCAGCAGGUUAAUACCCCGCUGUUCUGACGGUACCCAAAGAAUAAGCACCGGCUAACUUCGUG
RNAcentral lists this ribosomal RNA (492 nucleotides) under uncultured bacterium. RNAcentral's name for it is "partial 16S ribosomal RNA". It matches the Rfam family "Bacterial small subunit ribosomal RNA", at positions 29 to 507 of the family's 1533-position model. The record is from RNAcentral.